RNAcentral lists this long non-coding RNA (319 nucleotides) under Gossypium raimondii (Peruvian cotton). Its description in RNAcentral is "long non-coding RNA (GRAI_LNC010226)". The record is from RNAcentral. Lineage: Eukaryota; Viridiplantae; Streptophyta; Magnoliopsida; Malvales; Malvaceae.
GGAAAUACAGCGGUUUAGAGGGUCAAUAAAGCAACCAGUUUAUUCAUUAUUGUUUCAAUCAUGGUGAGGAUUCAAACCUCAAUUGGACAUAAGGGCAAAAAGGAAAAUUACAAAUACAUAAAUAAAACGAAAACAAGCUGAAGAAAUAACCUAUCUGACACUUUUGCAGCUCAGAGACAUCCAACUCUCCUUGAAGAUAAGUUUAAUCAAAGUUGCAGAGAGAAAGUAUGGCACUUCUUACUUGGGAAGUCCAGUUUCUGGGUCAAGAAGAGCCAGUUUGUCAUUUGAAAGCAGAAUAGGGCCUUUCCCAGGUCUUGUA